Molecule: RNA transcript, 6589 nt
Organism: Ochotona curzoniae (black-lipped pika)
Lineage: Eukaryota; Metazoa; Chordata; Mammalia; Lagomorpha; Ochotonidae
Gene: CREB1
Gene name: cAMP responsive element binding protein 1
Exons: 11
Source: RefSeq, a predicted model, not a curated record
CUGGCUGGCUCCCUGGCUGCGGCUCCUCAGUCGGCGGCGGCUGCUGCUGCCUGUGGCCCGGGCGGCUGGGAGAAGCGGAGUGUUGGUGAGUGACGCGGCGGAGGUGUAGUUUGACGCGGUGUGUUACGUGGGGGAGAGAAUAAAACUCCAGCGAGAUCCGGGCCGCGAACGAAAGCAGUGACGGAGGAGCUUGUACCACCGAUGAGGAAACUGAAACAUAAAACGCUUAAAGUCAUUUGUCCAACAACCCCUUGCUGACAAUGCCGCUUCAUGACAAAUCCAGCUUCCUACCAAGUGUUAGGCUCCCUUCCCCAACUACCUACAGCAGCAUUCUUUGUUUCUGUCAAGAUUAGGUAACUAAAUGACCAUGGAAUCUGCAGCAGAGAACCAGCAGAGUGGAGAUGCAGCUGUAACAGAAGCUGAAAACCAACAAAUGACAGUGCAAGCCCAGCCACAGAUUGCCACAUUAGCCCAGGUAUCUAUGCCAGCAGCUCAUGCAACAUCAUCUGCUCCCACGGUAACUUUAGUACAACUGCCCAAUGGGCAGACAGUUCAAGUGCAUGGAGUUAUUCAGGCGGCCCAGCCAUCAGUUAUACAGUCUCCACAAGUCCAGACAGUUCAGUCUUCCUGUAAGGACUUAAAAAGGCUUUUCUCCGGAACACAGAUUUCAACUAUUGCAGAAAGUGAAGAUUCACAGGAGUCAGUGGAUAGUGUAACUGACUCCCAGAAACGAAGGGAAAUUCUUUCGAGGAGGCCUUCCUACAGGAAAAUUUUGAAUGAUUUAUCUUCUGAUGCACCAGGAGUGCCAAGGAUUGAAGAGGAGAAGUCUGAAGAGGAGACUUCAGCACCUGCUAUCACCACUGUCACGGUGCCAACUCCCAUCUACCAGACCAGCAGUGGGCAGUACAUUGCCAUUACCCAAGGAGGAGCAAUACAGCUGGCUAACAAUGGUACCGAUGGGGUGCAGGGCCUGCAGACAUUAACUAUGACCAAUGCAGCUGCCACUCAGCCGGGUACUACCAUUCUACAGUAUGCACAGACCACAGAUGGACAACAGAUCUUAGUGCCCAGCAACCAAGUUGUGGUUCAAGCUGCCUCCGGAGAUGUACAGACAUACCAAAUUCGCACAGCACCCACUAGCACCAUUGCACCUGGAGUUGUUAUGGCUUCCUCCCCAGCACUUCCUACACAGCCUGCUGAAGAAGCAGCACGAAAGAGAGAGGUUCGUCUAAUGAAGAACAGGGAAGCAGCACGAGAGUGUCGUAGGAAGAAAAAAGAAUAUGUGAAAUGUUUAGAAAACAGAGUGGCAGUGCUUGAAAACCAAAACAAGACACUGAUUGAGGAGCUAAAAGCACUUAAGGACCUUUACUGCCACAAAUCAGAUUAAUUUGGGAUUUAAAUUUUCACCGUUAAGGUGGAAAAUGGACUGGAUUGGCCUCAACCAGAAAGACAAAAUAAACAUUUUAUUUUCUAAACAUUUCUUUUUUUUCUAUGCGCAAAACUGCCUGAAAGCAACUACAGAAUUUCAUUUGUGCUUUUGCAUUAAACUGUGAAUGUUCCAAUACCUGCCUCCACUUCUCCCCUCAAGAAAUUGUCAGCACCAGGAAUCAUGAAGAGACUUCUGCUUUUCAGCCCUACCCUCCUCAAGAAGUAAUCAUUGGUUUACUUGUAAAUUGAUGGGGGAAAUGAGGACAAGAAAAUCUUUUUAAAAAUGAUUUCAAGGUUUGUGCUGAGCUCCUUGAUUGCCUUAGGGACAGAAUUACCCCAGCCUCUUGAGCUGACGUAAUGUGUGGGCCGCAUGCAUAAAGAUGAACAAAAUUUAUGAAGGAGCAUCAUUCUAAGAAUUGAGUGAUGUAAUCUUUUAUUUGGAAAAUUCACCAGAUUCUCAAGAAGGCUUUCAAACAACUAAAGUUUGAUGUUUGUCCUGCUGAGCUAAAGGCGAAAGUUAUAGCGUAAAAAUUGUAAAGCAACAUAGAUAUGUGAUUUUCUAAACCCGGUGUUACAGAAACUAAGCAGAAACACAGAUCUGUUCACAGACUGGAUUUCUUAAUUGAGUUGAGAAGUCAAAUUGAUCAUUUUGAAUGAUAUAAGCAUUAUCAAUGAAAAAUCGCCUGGGAUCUCACAAAUUGUAUUCUUGAAAGUUACCUGCUUUUCAGAAGUUGAGGAUUUCUGCUCAAUUAGGAACUUGGUGGUCCUCUGGGUCCCUGACCAAUCAAGGCAAUUACAUCCAUAUUAGGAAAGACCAGGUCCUGGAGGGUGGCUACACUGAUUUGAAGUUGUGACUUACUGGUAAGAUAAGAAGUGAAACGUAUUCUUUUGCUAAACAUGUUAUAGACCCUUGGAGAGACUUGAAAAUUUCCGUGUACACAGACAGAAAUCAAGGCUCUUUUUGUGCAAGCUUUUUUUUUUUUUAAAUACAAGGAAGGGGGCGUGUUUUUAAGCUUGAAAUUUUGAGAAUCUUUACUAAGAAAAUGACAUAAUUAAAAAAAAAAAAUCUUGUAGCCAAGAACAUACGUGGCCAUGUUUCUCUCUUCAUAUUGGCCAAAAGGGAAUGAAAAUGCCAUCAUAGGAAUCUGUAUAUAUGCUACUGAUUUGCCUAGAAAAUAGCAAGUUUGGUAGUGCUCACUUCGCAAAUAUAGGGCCGUAUGGCACUUUUAUCUAUAGGACAGAUUAACUCUAAUAAAAGUGAAAUAGGGAGGGGUUUAUUUUUGAUAUAUUACUCUUCUGAAGUUUUCAAGCUUUGAUAGUGUUAAACUGAAAAGUGGUUUAGAAAGGGCUAGAUUCAAUGUGUUCACAUUUUUAAAAUGUCAUAUACAAUUUUUUAAGUUCAUUCUUUUUCAAACUCAAGUACCAUAUUGGCAACCAUAAUGUCAUUAGGUGCUCUGUUCAUCAUUUAGAUAUUCUUGGGGAAGAGGGUGGGGAAAUGGCAUUUGUAAAAUAAAUGUAAAUAUAUAUACAUAUAUAUAUACAUACAUACAGUAUAUAAUCUAAAGCUCUGAGAGCUCUUAAGUCAGGAAUGCGGAGUAUUAUAGUAUAUUGAGGUCAGAUGAAAUUUUACAUUUUUGUGUAUUCUAUUGCAUCCCUUCUGAUAGUUUCUAUGACUGCAUUAUUCCAGCACUCAUGAUUGGUUUUUUUAUCUUCGAAUUUUCUUCCAAGUGUUUUAUUUUCUUUGGCUUGAUGCUUCAGAGCAGGUUGUUAUCCACUUGAGGCCCCCUCCCCAACCCCACACCAAAAAGAAAGUAUUUCAUUUUCAUGCUUUGUCUCUGGCAGCUAUAACAGUGAUAAAAAACAUUUUGAAAACAGUUUUGUUUUGUUUUGUUUUAAGGAACCAUUGAUUCUUUUCAAAAAAUCAUCCUGGGGGAGGAAUUAUGGUGUUUUAUUUGAGCAGGGAUUUUGUCAGAAAGCGUGUUUGGAUGGUGGGUCAGCAGCAGUGCUAUCUGGAAGCACAACACCGCCCUGUCGGGCUGCCCAGUCCCAAGUCAUCCAGCUGCGGUGGUGUCGGUUCUGCUCCAUACAGGGUUUGACUAUUGGUGACGUGGGGUCAUACAAAGGCUUAGGAAGAAUGCAAAUAUGUAUAAACCAGGAUGUUUUCACUUGAAACAACUUCAAUCUAGAUUUCUUUUCAUAUUUAGAAAGUUUUCAACUCUGGUCACAGCUAUAGUCAUGUAAAUUGUGUUUAUUUCGAAGAUCAAAAGCUGCUUCAUUUUGCAGAUUUAAAUAAAGCUAAUAUAUCUGAAAGUUGAGAUUUUGAAUUACAGUGGGUUUCAGAAGCAGUGGCUGCAUGCCUUUUCAGUUACUUUAAAGAGGCUUUUUCUGUUUCGCUGCCUUUUGUAGCCCUGAAAACUGUUGGUAUUUGUUUCCCAUUGACCUAAUACAAAAGUUGUAUAUUUAUUUGAAUUAUAUUUGCAUUGUGUUCUUUGUAAAUGUUUGAUGUAACUUGCACUUUUGCAAACUGCCCAGUUUGGGUAUUAGCAGCUUAAGAAACUAUCAGAUGAUUAGCAGUCGACUCUGGUCUUUCACCUCUUCAAAAAUGGAAACUUUUUGUUGAUUAAAAUAUUUAGCAUUUUAAAAGCUAGCCUUAAAAAAUUAUAAAGGAAAACAUGUUACUCUGUUUCGUCAUGAAUAAAGAUUGAAGGAAAAAUGCAAGAAAUUAAUAUUUAACCUUCAAUUUUAAAUGAUAAUAUACCUUCACCCCAGCAUUAACACUGUCAGUAGUAUGUCAAAGUAUCCAUUAUUUGUCCAACGUAGUAAAGGAUUUGUAAAUCAACUAAUUGUUUCAGGAAGACCACAUUAGAAGUCAUCUACUAAAUUAUUUUCAUUUGGAAUGCCUAAAUUUUCUUAGUAAUUUCUGGUGAAGCGGGGGAAGUGAAAGUGGUUAGUAAACCUGUAGAUAAAUUGUUGUGAGUUGUGAGAUAAAUUUGUUCACUCAGUUGUACAAAGCACAACCAGAUAAUUUGUUGGAUGGUUCAUAUACAUUUUAAAGACUUUUAAUGUUAACCUUUUUAAGUUGACUGCAUAGUCACUAGAUGUGCUAGGAACUGGUUUCCUUCACUUUCUAGAAUCAAUGGCCAAGAGAGGCAUUCAUCCAUGAGGGGUUGAAUUUAUCAUGAAGCUGAGUCAGUAUGGAAGAAUUUCAAACAAAUCAAACAGGGUGCUGAAGUUCCAUCUGUCUCAUUUGCUAUGAUAAGUUCUUACUGAUUAGUGAAUGUAGCUUAAGCCUUUGUAUGGGUCCUCAGGGGGCAGGCAGACUUUAAGAGGGACCAGAUAAUGUUUGAAUGGAGGGAUUAUAUUUCAGGUGUUUUAGCUUGAAAUUUAUUUUUUAAAAAAAUAAAAAUAAUUUUAAAAAAACAGUAGAAUAAAGCCUGUGUAGCAAGUUGAUAUAAACAGGCAGAGUUGUUUAGCACAGAGAAAAUAUUGACCUGUCUGCAGAAUUCUGUUUUGAUGAACCCAGGUCUCAACUGAGUAUAACAAGAGAACAUUUUAACUAUUCUCACCAGCAAGGGAAAAAAAUGAACAGUCUUUAGGAAAUGUCUUUGAAAAGGGUCAAAUAAUAGAGAAUUGGAAUUUCACCUACUUUACACUGGCAUUAUUUAAUACUUGCCUAUAGAAAUACAGCAUUUCCAAGUUCUGAGGAGCCUGUCAGAGAUGUGAGUAAAUGCGAUUGUUUAAAACUUAGUAGGGAAGGAAGAAAAAUCCCUGCAGAUAAUGAUUUUAAUGUUGGUUGGCAAGGAAAAUGUCCUAUCAUUGUGUUUGGGAGGUUUUAUUUUCUUAUGUUUAAAACACAACUGGUUAAUGCUUUAUAGGCAUUUUUAUCCAAGUGCCAAUCCCAGUUUAUGUAAUAAAUUUUAUUAAAAUGGGAAAUGAUCUGUCAACAUUUUACUGUAUGUGUUAGGGAUGGCAAAGAAGAGUGCUUGUUAAGCGGUUUUCCAAGUAAAGUUGUCGGUGAUGGAUUUGUCCAUAUGUCAGUUGUUACCCCGCCCCCAAAAAAACCAUGCCUGCAGAAGAAAUGUGUUCUAACCCAGAUGCACCACAAAAUAAUCAGGGAAGUUCCUAGAAAGGUGUAUCUGCUUUGAGGAUAUUUUUGUUUUGUUAAGGAUUGGGGCAAAGAGUACCUCCCCCUAAACUAUCAGCACAAAACAGGGUAUUGAUUUUUUUUGAACGCCAAUGUUUCUAUUGGAGUUGAAUACUAAAUACAUAACUAUAGUGAGGGGAAUGCAUUUCUAAUAAAAUUCCCUAUACUAGAAAUAUCCCUGUGGUUUUUUUUAACCUAAAUCUUGUGCUUUAUGUGUAAAGAAAAAAUGUACUGAAUUACAAUGCAUUUUAUUAACACUAUGUACAUAUUAGCUGCUUUGUGUUCAGAAUGGUAGCAGUUGCUUUGUAUAUUACAGUGAUCCUUGUGAAUUUGUGAAAUAUUGUCAUAAAGUGCUUUUUCUUACUGUAAUCUUUGUGGUUUCAACUGUCAUAAUGCCCUUUUUACACAAACAUUUAUGUGCAGUCACAUAAACAUGCUUUUUAAAACUCUGUAAGUCUCUUUUUUUGGGAAGGGGAAUCUCUUUGUAUUUUAGUUUUUCCUUUGUAUUAAGUCAUUUUCUUAGACUUAGGUUUAUUCAUUUUGUUAAAUGUUCAGAAAAUAUGCUGCGGUGUAUCAUGAGCUUAUUUUGUGCGUGUACAGCAACAGAACUGUACUUCAACAGGAACCCAUCUUCAGCUAUUUGAUUUUUGCUGCAUUCCUGCUUUUUAGCCUAAGACUUCUUUUGCAGUAAGAUUCAACAGUGCCCAUUUGAGGAGUUGGAGAUACUUCCCUAUUGAGAUAACUAGUGGAGACAUAUUACCAGCUAUCUCUGCAUAGAAUGAAUUUUGCAUUGAACAAUAAGAACAUGCCUUAGGUUUCCUUAGAAUUCUGAAAUUCCAAGAUGUCAUAAAACAAGGGAGAAACAGGGUGUGUGGUUACUCUGCUUAAGUUACAGGAAUCAAAGAUGAUCCCCACCUAUAGUAUUGGAUUUAUGAAAUAAGUUCUAAAUGUAAGCAGUUGUUUAUCCCUAACUGCUAUGUUUUCUUAUUGCCAAGUUUAUUAAAUCUGCUAUACCAA